RNAcentral lists this non-coding RNA (24 nucleotides) under Arabidopsis thaliana (thale cress). The record is from RNAcentral. Lineage: Eukaryota; Viridiplantae; Streptophyta; Magnoliopsida; Brassicales; Brassicaceae.
UUAGACCAUCUCCAAUGUAUAGCU